GGAGAGAAUAGGGGAGUAUUAGGAAUUGAAAUGGAGCAAUUAUAUGUAAUUAAAAAUAUGUCAAAACAAAUCUCUCUAUUAUGUGUAACUGUAAUACACUAGUUAAAAAAAAACAUUAAACUCAUCAGUAUUUAUCCAAAAGAAAUAAAAUCAGCAUACUAUAGUGACACAAGCACAUCAAUGUUUAUAGCAGCACAAUUCACACUAGCCAAGUCAUGGGACAAGUCCAAGUACACAUCAACAGAUGAACGGAUAAAGAAAAUGUGGUAUUUAUAUACAAUGGAGUUUUAUUCAACCAUAAAGAAAAAUAAAAUUAUGGCAUUUUCCAGUUAAUGGAUGGAAAUGAAGAAUAUCCUGCUAAGUGAAAUAAACCAGCCACAGAAAAAUCAAGGAUUGAAUGUUUUCUUUCAUAUGCAGAAGCUACAGCAAAAUAAGGAGGGGAAAGUAGGAGUCAGACCUCAUAAGGAUAGGCCCAUCAGUCAAAUCAAAAAAGAAAAUUGAGAGGGAGGGGAAGAGACAGAAAAGGGAGCAAAUGCAAAAUGAAUUAGACAAUGAAAGAAUUUUAGAGUGUGUAUGUGUUUAAAUAUACCACAGUGAAUUCCACCUUUGUAUAACUACAAAGUACCAAAUAAAAAUAAAUAAAUAGAUGGAAGGAAGACCAGGGGAUCAGAG
Molecule: long non-coding RNA, 672 nt
Filed under: Marmota monax (woodchuck)
Lineage: Eukaryota; Metazoa; Chordata; Mammalia; Rodentia; Sciuridae
Source: RNAcentral